UCCUUCAGUGUUGAAACACUCUGUUGAACCAGAUUACAGAAAGUUCACUGGAGUUUUGUUUCAACAUUGCAAGAA
RNAcentral lists this microRNA precursor (75 nucleotides) under Sus scrofa (pig). Its description in RNAcentral is "mir-653 microRNA precursor family". The record is from Rfam by way of RNAcentral. Lineage: Eukaryota; Metazoa; Chordata; Mammalia; Artiodactyla; Suidae. RNAcentral also lists the same sequence under 1 other name.